UACGUAGGGGGCGAGCGUUGUCCGAGUGUACUGGGCGUAAAGCGCUUGUAGGCGGUCCACCAAGUUUGGGGUGACAGUUGCCGACUUAAUCGGCAAAGUGCCUCAAAGACUGGCGGACUUGAGGGCCACAGAGGGACAUGGAACUCCAGGUGUAGUGGUGAAAUGCGUAGAUAUCUGGAAGAACACCAAAGGCGAAGGCAGUGUCCUGGGUGGUCGCUGACGCUGAGAGGCGAAAGCCAGGGGAGCGAACGGG
This 253-nucleotide ribosomal RNA is filed under the name uncultured bacterium. RNAcentral's name for it is "partial 16S ribosomal RNA". It matches the Rfam family "Bacterial small subunit ribosomal RNA", at positions 524 to 776 of the family's 1533-position model. The record is from RNAcentral.